Molecule: long non-coding RNA, 1966 nt
Filed under: Brachypodium distachyon (stiff brome)
Lineage: Eukaryota; Viridiplantae; Streptophyta; Magnoliopsida; Poales; Poaceae
Description: long non-coding RNA (BDIS_LNC005791)
Source: RNAcentral
CGUCCUUAAAAAAUUGAAGUAAAAGAAAUGAAACUCCGUCUGUUUUCUAUUUGAAAGUUUGUCCAAAACAGUGGAAGUUCCAUUCUAGGAAAUUUGGAAGUUUUUGCCAAAAAAAAUUGGUUGCCCGUCCAAAAUUAUGAUAGUUUUGUCGAUAAGUAUAGAAAACUUAUCCACGAGAGUCUGAAAGUUUGUCAACAAUUGUCAAAAAGUUCAACCACGACUUUAAAAUUUCACUAAAUAAAAUUCAAUACAAAACCAAUUGAUGAAACUUCAUAGAAACAUUUACUCCCGUUCGGAAAGGUUAUAAUAACCAUGUACACUAACUGUUCACUGGACGGUUAUAAAAAAAGGAUUUUCGUACACAAUGAAAAAAUCACUCAUAGUGAAACAUAAUGCCAUUUAGUUUUUUAAAACACUGGCCUGCAAGACAAAGCAAUAAAGUAAUUUCACAACGUCUUUCCCAUGGGAAAAAAUGCAAGCUACCACCCUUGAAGUAGUUUGGAAAACCUGAAGAAAAAAGGUGUUCCAACAACCAGAAUCAAAUAAAAAACAUGUCAUGCAUGAUACAAAACUUAAUAGAUUUAAAACAAACAGAAAAAUACACAUAUAUCAUUAGAUUCCCAACUAGCAUAACAAAACAAGAUAAUUAUUCAUACAAACUAACACUUCUGACUAGCAGUUCUCCAAACACUGACAAGAUACAUACUAGUAAUUGUCCACGAGACAACAAACUACUUAAAAUGCAUAGACAUCGGCUUCUUCAAUUCCUCUCGCUUUGAUAAUCUCAAUGUCCAACAUGAUGCACGGUUCUUCUUUCCCAAUCUUGAUGAGAACUGUGCUGCCAGCAUUGAUCCCGAAAUACCGAUGUAAGUCCUUCCACACACCAUUGAUCACUGUCUUCAUUGAUUUGCCGGAGAUGUAUGAGCCAGUCAUCGAGAUCGCAAAAUCCCUAAAGUGAAAUAUAACAAGACCAUGUGUUGGCAGUUCAAGCCAAAAAGUCACAUAUGAUGGGAUCACCUACAAAAAACACAUCCUAGGUUAGCUCUUCAAAAACAAUAAGGCGUAGAAAAAUUAUACUGCUUCCUACGACUGCUAUAAAAUAAAUUAAAAACAUGUGAUUAAAAAAGAAGAAGUGAAAUAACAUAAAUAACAUGAUAAUACUUGUAAUUAAUACCCUACAAGAAUAAAAGAAAAGUGUACUAACCAAGCACCCAGAUGCAAUGUCUGCAGCUGUCAUCUUGUGAGCAAUGUAAAAAUGGUCUUGAUAGUCUUCGGUAAACUCUCUCGUUGACAAAGAUUGCGCUAUUUUUCCAACAUCACCCUCACUCAAAGAUGCCAUGUCUGUGAAGAUGGUGCCAUGUAGCUUGUGCCGCUUCCAAUCAUUCAUUUCGUGAAUAGCUGAAAAACAUAUGAGAAAAAUAACAAAAUAAAUUUUAACAAAUUAAUCCACAAACAUGUUACGCAAGUUAAAAUGGUAAAUGAAAAAAAUGUAACAAAGGAAACGUACUAGGUAUAUAUGACAUGGAUUUUUGCACUUUAUUCUCAUCAGACACAGUAACAUCAAACAUGCAGCCAAAAGCAUUUGUGGAGAACAAAACUACAUCACCAUCCUCAAGCUUGUACACUUUUGCGAAACUCCUCCAAUAUGCUCCACAAAGAACGGUGGUAACAUUAUUCCUGUGGAUGUACACAUCAAACUUAAACCCGCCUGAGUUCAUAACUAGAAAGCUUGCAGCAAAAUCAUUCAAUCGCUCUCUAAAAUAGCAAGGCACAACCUACAGAAAAAAAGAUCGCACAAAAAAUGAAACCACAUGAAAAAAAAGGACACAACAAAAUCAUCGAAAAAGCAAAACAAGAAUAUGAUAAUGAGCACAUACCACAUGGUCUUCAAAUGCUUGUGUCAUGGUCACACUAAAAGAAAACAAGCGGUGGUUGGACCAACGGCAAGAGCCACCCACAUUGAGAC